RNAcentral lists this long non-coding RNA (326 nucleotides) under Homo sapiens (human). RNAcentral describes it as "HSALNT0236500". The record is from RNAcentral. Lineage: Eukaryota; Metazoa; Chordata; Mammalia; Primates; Hominidae.
GGAAUUAUAAUGAGGCUCCCGGAGGAAGCUGCUGCCAGAGUAGAAGCUGGAGAAGAAUUCUCGGCAUCAGAGGGCCGACAGGGUCCCUGGCACGGUGGCUGCCACUGAGUGUGACCCGUCAUGGAGAGUACUUCAUCUUCAUUUUAAUUAAGCUUCGGGGGUGAGACAGGCAGCCUCCGGAUUCAAGGGAGCUGACUGCCCGUAUCCUGAAAGAGGCUCUGCUUUAGGAAGCCUCGGAUUUUGUGGAUGGAGAGAAGGCAAAAAGACAAACACGCCAUUUUGCUGAUGCUGAUAGAGGCACACAUUGGCCACUCAAUAAGCAGGUG